AACGCACCUUGCGCUCCUUGGUAUUCCGAGGAGCAUGCCUGUUUGAGUGUCAUGAAAUCUUCAACCUACGAGCUUUUGUGGUUUGUAGGCUUGGACUUGGAGGCUUGUCGGCCGUUCUUGGUCGGCUUCUCUUAAAUGCAUUAGCUUGGUUCCUUGCGGAUCGGCUCUCGGUGUGAUAAUGUCUACGCUGUGACCGUGAAGCGUUUGGCGAGCUUCUAACCGUCUCUUUGAGACAGCUUUAUGACCUCUGACCUCAAAUCAGGUAGGACUACCCGCUGAACUUAA
This 285-nucleotide unclassified non-coding RNA is filed under the name uncultured Polyporales. Its description in RNAcentral is "sequence contains 5.8S rRNA gene, ITS2, 28S rRNA gene". The stretch from base 1 to 52 matches the Rfam family "5.8S ribosomal RNA", at positions 103 to 154 of the family's 154-position model. Lineage: Eukaryota; Fungi; Basidiomycota; Agaricomycetes; Polyporales. The record is from RNAcentral.